This 450-nucleotide ribosomal RNA is filed under the name uncultured bacterium. Its description in RNAcentral is "partial 16S ribosomal RNA". It matches the Rfam family "Bacterial small subunit ribosomal RNA", at positions 328 to 792 of the family's 1533-position model. The record is from RNAcentral.
CUUCCAGACUCCUACGGGAGGCAGCAGUGGGGAAUAUUGGGCAAUGGGCGCAAGCCUGACCCAGCAACGCCGCGUGAAGGAAGAAGGCCCUCGGGUUGUAAACUUCUUUUAUCAAGGACGAAACAAAUGACGGUACUUGAUGAAUAAGCCACGGCUAACUACGUGCCAGCAGCCGCGGUAAUACGUAGGUGGCAAGCGUUAUCCGGAUUUACUGGGUGUAAAGGGAGCGUAGGCGGCCUGCCAAGUCUGAUGUGAAAUACCGGGGCUCAACCCCGGGGCUGCAUUGGAAACUGGCAGGCUGGAGUGUCGGAGAGGCAGGCGGAAUUCCUAGUGUAGCGGUGAAAUGCGUAGAUAUUAGGAGGAACACCAGUGGCGAAGGCGGCCUGCUGGACGAUGACUGACGCUGAGGCUCGAAAGCGUGGGGAGCAAACAGGAUUAGAUACCCUGGUA